This 658-nucleotide ribosomal RNA is filed under the name Micromonospora sp. R19-87. RNAcentral's name for it is "bacterial SSU rRNA". It matches the Rfam family "Bacterial small subunit ribosomal RNA", at positions 55 to 732 of the family's 1533-position model. Lineage: Bacteria; Bacillati; Actinomycetota; Actinomycetes; Micromonosporales; Micromonosporaceae. The record is from RNAcentral.
AUGCAAGUCGAGCGGAAGGCCCUUCGGGGUACUCGAGCGGCGAACGGGUGAGUAACACGUGAGUAACCUGCCCUAGGCUUUGGGAUAACCCUCGGAAACGGGGGCUAAUACCGGAUAUGACCUUUCCUCGCAUGAGGGUUGGUGGAAAGUUUUUCGGCCUGGGAUGGGCUCGCGGCCUAUCAGCUUGUUGGUGGGGUGAUGGCCUACCAAGGCGACGACGGGUAGCCGGCCUGAGAGGGCGACCGGCCACACUGGGACUGAGACACGGCCCAGACUCCUACGGGAGGCAGCAGUGGGGAAUAUUGCACAAUGGGCGGAAGCCUGAUGCAGCGACGCCGCGUGAGGGAUGACGGCCUUCGGGUUGUAAACCUCUUUCAGCAGGGACGAAGCGCAAGUGACGGUACCUGCAGAAGAAGCGCCGGCCAACUACGUGCCAGCAGCCGCGGUAAGACGUAGGGCGCGAGCGUUGUCCGGAUUUAUUGGGCGUAAAGAGCUCGUAGGCGGCUUGUCGCGUCGACCGUGAAAACUUGGGGCUCAACCCCAAGCCUGCGGUCGAUACGGGCAGGCUAGAGUUCGGUAGGGGAGACUGGAAUUCCUGGUGUAGCGGUGAAAUGCGCAGAUAUCAGGAGGAACACCGGUGGCGAAGGCGGGUCUCUGG